This 293-nucleotide ribosomal RNA is filed under the name uncultured bacterium. RNAcentral's name for it is "partial 16S ribosomal RNA". It matches the Rfam family "Archaeal small subunit ribosomal RNA", at positions 455 to 747 of the family's 1478-position model. The record is from RNAcentral.
GUGCCCAGCCGCCCGGUAAUACCGGCAGCCCGAGUGAUGCCCGAUCUUAUUGGGCCUAAAGCGUCCGUAGCUGGCUGCGCAAGUCCGUCGGGAAAUCCACUCGCCCAACGAGUGGGCGUCCGACGGAAACUGCACAGCUUGGGACCGGAAGGCUCGAAGGGUACGUUCGGGGUAGGAGUGAAAUCCCAUAAUCCCGCACGGACCACCGAUGGCGAAAGCACUUCGAGAAAACGGAUCCGACAGUGAGGGACGAAAGCCAGGGUCUCCAACCGGAUUAGAAACCCUGGUAGUCC